RNAcentral lists this non-coding RNA (23 nucleotides) under Arabidopsis thaliana (thale cress). Lineage: Eukaryota; Viridiplantae; Streptophyta; Magnoliopsida; Brassicales; Brassicaceae. The record is from RNAcentral.
GUAAGAGGGUCGAGUAAACUGUA